This 446-nucleotide ribosomal RNA is filed under the name uncultured bacterium. RNAcentral describes it as "SSU rRNA". It matches the Rfam family "Bacterial small subunit ribosomal RNA", at positions 26 to 518 of the family's 1533-position model. The record is from RNAcentral.
AGAGCGAACGCUGGCGGCAGGCCUAACACAUGCAAGUCGAGCGCCGUAGCAAUACGGAGCGGCAGACGGGAGAGUAACACGUGGGAACGUACCCUUCAGUUCGGAACAACCCAGGGAAACUUGGGCUAAUACCGAAUACGUCCGUAAGGAGAAAGAUUUAUCGCUGAAGGAUCGGCCCGCGUCUGAUUAGCUUGUUGGUGAGGUAAUGGCUCACCAAGGCUACGAUCAGUAGCUGGUCUGAGAGGAUGAUCAGCCUCACUGGGACUGAGACACUGCCCAGACUCCUACGGGGGGCUGCAGUAACGAAUCUUCCGCAAUGCACGCAAGUGUGACGGAGCGACGCCGCGUGUGGGACGAAGUCCUUCGGGAUGUAAACCACUGUCAGGGGUUACCAAGUUCUGAGGAACCCCAGAGGAAGGCACGGCUAACUCUGUGCCAGCAGCCGC